This 591-nucleotide ribosomal RNA is filed under the name uncultured bacterium. RNAcentral describes it as "bacterial SSU rRNA". It matches the Rfam family "Bacterial small subunit ribosomal RNA", at positions 202 to 813 of the family's 1533-position model. The record is from RNAcentral.
AAAACUCCGGUGGUAUGGGAUGGGCCCGCGUCUGAUUAGCCAGUUGGCGGGGUAACGGCCCACCAAAGCGACGAUCAGUAGCCGACCUGAGAGGGUGACCGGCCACAUUGGGACUGAGACACGGCCCAAACUCCUACGGGAGGCAGCAGUGGGGAAUAUUGCACAAUGGGGGGAACCCUGAUGCAGCGACGCCGCGUGAGCGAAGAAGUAUCUCGGUAUGUAAAGCUCUAUCAGCAGGGAAGAAAAAUGACGGUACCUGACUAAGAAGCCCCGGCUAACUACGUGCCAGCAGCCGCGGUAAUACGUAGGGGGCAAGCGUUAUCCGGAUUUACUGGGUGUAAAGGGAGCGCAGGCGGCGCGGCAAGUCUGAUGUGAAAGCCCGGGGCUCAACCCCGGGACUGCAUUGGAAACUGUCGCGCUCGAGUGUCGGAGAGGUAAGUGGAAUUCCUAGUGUAGCGGUGAAAUGCGUAGAUAUUAGGAGGAACACCAGUGGCGAAGGCGGCUUACUGGACGACAACUGACGCUGAGGCUCGAAAGCGUGGGGAGCAAACAGGAUUAGAUACCCUGGUAGUCCACGCCGUAAACGAUGAA